CCUACGGGAGGCUGCAGUGAGGAAUAUUGGUCAAUGGACGAGAGUCUGAACCAGCCAAGUAGCGUGAAGGAUGACUGCCCUAUGGGUUGUAAACUUCUUUUAUAUGGGAAUAAAAUGUUCCACGUGUGGGAUUUUGUAUGUACCAUAUGAAUAAGGAUCGGCUAACUCCGUGCCAGCAGCCGCGGUAAUACGGAGGAUCCGAGCGUUAUCCGGAUUUAUUGGGUUUAAAGGGAGCGUAGGUGGAUUGUUAAGUCAGUUGUGAAAGUUUGCGGCUCAACCGUAAAAUUGCAGUUGAAACUGGCAGUCUUGAGUACAGUAGAGGUGGGCGGAAUUCGUGGUGUAGCGGUGAAAUGCUUAGAUAUCACGAAGAACUCCGAUUGCGAAGGCAGUUCACUGGACUGCAACUGACACCGAGGCUCGAAAGUGUGGGUAUCAAACAGGAUUAGAUACCCGAGUAGUC
This 460-nucleotide ribosomal RNA is filed under the name uncultured bacterium. Its description in RNAcentral is "partial 16S ribosomal RNA". It matches the Rfam family "Bacterial small subunit ribosomal RNA", at positions 338 to 795 of the family's 1533-position model. The record is from RNAcentral.